UGGGGAAUAUUGGACAAUGGGCGCAAGCCUGAUCCAGCCAUGCCGCGUGGAUGAUGAAGGCCCUAGGGUUGUAAAGUCCUUUCGACGGGGAAGAUAAUGACGGUACCCGUAGAAGAAGCCCCGGCUAACUUCGUGCCAGCAGCCGCGGUAAUACGAAGGGGGCUAGCGUUGCUCGGAAUCACUGGGCGUAAAGCGCACGUAGGCGGACUCUUAAGUCGGUGGUGAAAUCCUGGAGCUCAACUCCAGAACUGCCUUCGAUACUGAGAGUCUCGAGUCCGAGAGAGGUGAGUGGAACUGCGAGUGUAGAGGUGAAAUUCGUAGAUAUUCGCAAGAACACCAGUGGCGAAGGCGGCUCACUGGAUCGGUACUGACGCUGAGGUGCGAAAGCGUGGGGAGCAAACAGGAUUAGAUACCCCAGUAUUCCCUGAGCGGGCUGGCAAGGCGCAU
This 447-nucleotide ribosomal RNA is filed under the name uncultured bacterium. RNAcentral describes it as "bacterial SSU rRNA". It matches the Rfam family "Bacterial small subunit ribosomal RNA", at positions 355 to 825 of the family's 1533-position model. The record is from RNAcentral.